UACGCUCCCCUGACAGAGAGCAACAGAGAACGGCGCCUUUGGGGGAGUUAAAAAAAAAGCUUUCUCCUUCAUUUUCCCAUCAAAAACCAAGACAUACCAUUUACCUUCUAAAAAAUGGUGUAGCUUUGACCUUUCUCUCUCCAGUUUCUCACCUCACCCACACACUAAUCUCUGAUGGAACAAAGCUAAAAAGAGUUCUGUUUUCAAAAGAAGAAAAAUCCGAGUUUCAGAUUUGAAAAAGAAAAAGAAAAAAAAAUUCUCAUGAACAAAACAAAACAAAGCAAACAGUCAAAAAAGGAAUUUGGAGCUGUUGGACUGAGGAGCUGCUGUUUGUCACUAUUCCCUCGCUGGUUGAGUCACUAUUUGUUGCUGUAGCUAAUUUGUCCCAGCUUAUUGAUUUCAGCUCUUACUUGGCUUUCUAGUUGUUUUAAUUAUUGAUUAAGGUCAAUUCUAGUCCAAGUAAGUAUGUUCUCUCACCUCUGUAUUUUUUCAGAUCUGGUUUAAUAUAAAAUCAUGACUAUUUUCCUUUAUCUUUUAUUAUUGUUUGGAUUUUGUGUAUUGUAAUAAUAAUUUGAUUCCAUAAAUGAAGGGUAUAGCGUGCGGACAUAAUUGUAAAGGAAAUUUUGAUACUGGGAUUCUCAUACUGUGACAUAAAUGUGAAAGAUCAUAUAUCAAUGUUGAUAAUAGUUUCGACUUUGCUCCAUGUAUCAUGUUCUUCACGUCUUGUAUAUUGCUUGUAUCGUUUGUGCCUUGUUCGAGCGUCCUCUUCUUGUCCUCCAAUGAUGUAUGAUGAUGAGUAUACCAAUCAUUGUGUAUCUUGACCAUGUUGAGCUUCCACUUGAACAAAUUGAAGUCAUCACUUCUGCCACUUUCAUAUGUCGAGUUCCUGGAGUUAAUUUAUAACUUUAAAAUCUGAGCAAUCUUGAAUUAAUGUUUGUAGAAGUUUUUUUUAAAUUAUUUUUCUAUUGUUAUGUUGAUGUAUGAAAAUCAUGUGGAAAGACUAGUCAAAUGUAGUUAUACGCAUUUCUGAAUUCAAUUCGGACCCAUUUGGUAGCCUAUGGCCUCACCCGCAAAAAUCAUGUCGUAUUCGGUGGACUGUGACGUAUCGGGCCCCACUAUGAACCCAUCUUAGCCUACUUGGACCUGUUGGAUGUUUCGUGAUAAUCUUUAUUGAAACUCCAAACACUUGAUUCAAGCCCCGACUUUGCUUUACUUACAGUAGACGUUCCAUAAUGUCGAGCCUCUUUAACAAUCUCAAAGUAAUUUAGGAAAUGGACAACUUAUGAACAUCGUUGCUUGUUUCAGGCGCGAUUAAUAAUGAACCAUCGUGGCUAUGGGUACGGUUCCUGUGACAUAGUAAUGAUGCCUAAUUCCCAAAUUUAGGGUACAUUUCAUGUAACCCGAUUAUAACAACUUCGAAUAAUAAAACCCUUUAAAAUAAUUUGAGGCGUGCCAUGCCAAAUAAAACCCCUAAGCCCAUGGCCCUCACAAAACUAGCUAGCUUUUUUUAUAGAAUAUUUGAGGUAUGCCAUUUUCAUUAAAUAACCCAUGGCCCUCGUGUAAUUAAUACUAACUCUUUAAAAAAUCGAGGUGUGCCAUUAAUUGAAUUUUCCAUGGACCUCGCAAACAUUGUUAUUAAUUUGAACCUUUGUAGUUGCUUUAGGCGCAUUCUUUAAAUUGAUUUUUUUAAUUACUAAAUUCGGGUGUACAUUUCAUGUGACCCAAUUUCAAUUCUCAACAAUAUUAAAUAGAACGUGUCGCGAACCGAGGGUGCAUUUCAUGUAGCACGGUUUAAGGCGUGUUUUAAAUAGCCUUGAAUCUUCUUUAAAAUCAUUUUUUAAAUAAAUAAAAGCGGUUUUAAAGUUAAAAAUGGACAAUAGGUUUAAAACGUAUAAUAAAUUAGAUAAUAAGCCAAUUAUUAAUAGUUAAAGCAACCGUGCUAGAACCACGGAAUCCGGGAAUGCCUAACACCUUUUCCCAGGUUAAUAGAAUUCCUUACCGGUCUUCUGGUUUCACAGACUUUAUUUGGGAUUUAAAAUAAACCGGUGACUUGAGACACCAUAAACUAUCCCAAGUGGAGACUCUGAUAAAUAAAUAAUUCCAUUUCGAAUGAUGUCACUUAAAUUGGAAAAACUCCCUCAUAUACCCCUCGGGUGAUAAAAAGGAAGUGUUACACUUUCGAUUUCAAAAUAGAUUUGAUAUCUUUAUAAGAGAUAUUAUCCUUUCCAUAAAGCAUAGUAUCUCUUAUACGUUUAAACGACUGGGUAAGGAAACAAGCAAUAACACAGCUUGAUCCUUAUCUUUGAUUUCAAUAUCUAUGUUAAAUCCGUAAGAAGAGAAUAAAAAAUAUCAAUAUGUGUAAGUAUAUGUCUCGCCCUGAAACCUGGCCUGGACGUAACACGACACUCGGUGCCUGACUACAUAUGACCGAUCGAACCCACUGGCUGGCUGAAUCAACAUGUGAUAUCAUAACAUACUAAAUACGGAAAAUAAACUAACACAUGCUGAUAUACUGAAAGUCUGAAUGAUAACAAUCAAAGUGUGGAAACACUAUACAAGUCUGAAACAUGUCUGUAGCCAACGUUGCUUAACAUAAAAAGCUUGUGACUCUUUCUAACUGUUACUCUACUCUAUCAAGCCUCUAUUGAAGUACUGAAAACACUGACUGUCUGUAAAUACUAAAAGACUGUAAGGUAAUGAUAAUGUCCCGAAAGGAUUGGGGAUCACCAAAAAGCUGGUACGAGAAUCCUAGCGCUCUGAAUCGUCAACCUGUAAAUCAGUACCUACAUCGUGAGAUGCAAGCCUCGAGAAAAAAGGGGCAUUAGUACAUUUGAAUUGCACUGGUAUGUAAAGCAACUGAAAGAAAGAAUUAGAAAUACUGAAACAAAUACUGAGCUGAUAACUGAGAAUUAAUAAUUGAUAACUGAAAUUAUAACUGUUGAAACUGAAAUAGAAAUGAUAACUAAUAGCUGAUAACUAAUAACUGAUAAUUGAGAUAAUAACUGAUAACUAAUAAGUGAUAACUGAAAUGAUAGCUGAUAACUGAACUGAACAAAGGAAGCAAGGAUAUGAAUACUCUCUUUUCUGAAUGAUGAACAACCUGUUUAUCUGAAUAUUAAACUGCAGCCUCAUGUAUAUAUAUAUAUAUGUGUGUGUGUGUGUGUGUGUGUGUGUGUGUGUGUGUGCACAAAUUGCAGCCUUGGGCCCAAGUAUACGUAUAUAUAACUGCGGUCUCAGGCCCAAAGAUGCAUAAAACAUUAAAUGCGACCUCAUGCCUAAAUACAGGGGUUCAACAUUCAGGAAUUUAAAAUUAGGAACUAAGAAUCAUACUGCAAUACAUUUCAUUAAUUCGUACAUUAUUCUUGAUUCAUCUAUUGGAUAGUAUUAGAUUUCACAUUAUUUUAAACUGCUUACUCAUAUUUAAUUAAAUUGUUAUAAGAAACGGUUAGCUAAAUUCUAACAUUGGAUUGCCUAACAAGUAUGGUGUUAGGCGCCAUCACGAUCUCGAGGGUUGGGAAUUUGGGUCGUGACAAGUUGGUAUCAGAGCACUAGGUUGCCUAGGUCUCACAAUUCUCAAACAAGCUUAAUAGAGUCUAAGAGAUCGGUAAGGAGACGUCUGUACUUAUCUCUCAAAGGCUAUAAAGUUAGGAACAAUUUGACUUCUAUUCUACUCUAUCUUGCGAAUUUAUUCUACCAUUGAGGAUUGAACUCGUCUACUGUUGUUCUCUCACAAUUCUCGACAACAUGCAAUGCUUCUAUAACCAGAUAAGAAGUGGAGCCCUAAUGACAGCUACGAUUAGGGAAAGAGGCAGAGGCAGAGCUCAGUCUAGAGCUCGAACAUCAGCACCUAUUGUAGAGCCUCAAGUGGAUCUAGAAGUAGAGAUUCUAGCCCAGUCGGUACAUGUUGGACCAAUUCAGGUUCUAGAAGGAUUCAUAGCUACUCCAGUAUUGCAGGACGCACUAGUCCGUUUAUUGAGGUUGGAAAAGUUUACCAAACUAUUUCCACUCCAUUUCAGUGGUACAUCUUUUGAGGACCUACAUGAUUUUCUUGACCGCUGUUAUGAAGUAUUGCAGAACAUGGGAAUAGUUGAAAGUAAUAGGGUUGAUUUAUAUGAGUUGUGAAGUUUAACAUUGUGGAUUAUCAAACAUUGUGGCCUAUGACUUCAUGCCAAGUGGGGAAGUCCAUUAUCAAGGAAUAGAUUGCGGGGUCAUGUGUUAUAUUAGUUUUGGUCUAGAAUGUAUAAGGCCCGAGAUUUUGCAAGAGAUAAAGCUAGGAAUUGUGGUAUGUCUGCCUCCUUAAUAACCCUAUACCUCAGUACCAAAGGAGUUAUAUAAACAACUUUAAAUCUACAGAAGGUCUACUCAGUGUGGAAGUCACGGUUUCGGAUUUUGGGGUGCUUUAGACGGAGUAUAGUGGUUGGCGAGCUUCUAGACUAUAUGGUUCGUGCCAAGAUUUAUCUAUAUAGAGCUCUACUUUUGUGAUCAUUGUGCAUCAAUAGGGAUGAGAGUUACCCCACAGAAUAACGAAGAGUAUAUGAAUAAAUGGUGUAGCUCAGCAGUGUUGAGUCAACAUAGUAAAAGAAGAAAUUGGCCGUCGGUGUUUGUGGCAAGCCUACGAAGAGGACGACCAGCCAUUGCAACAUCAACUACUUGACUCAGUUCUCAUAAAUGCUUUUGAAAGAGUUUGUUUCUCGGACUCUCCAUAAUGCGUGGAGCAUAGGGUUUGAACGUGUCACGAUCCCAGUUCGCCCUCCGUGAACUAUCGUGAUGGCACCUAGUCUCUACGACUAGGUAAGCCUAACAAUUUUGGAAAAAGGAAAAACAACAGAUAAAAUAAAUAAAAACUACAGAAUAAACAUAAUGAGGGUUUAAAGAUGCCGCUCGGCAUAUACAAUAUAACUCUCAAACUGAACAACUUCCCCAAAACCCGGAAUCUCAUGAAAUCACAAGCUGUUGAAUAACUACAAGUGUCUAACUCCAGAAUGUCUAAACAAAAGUAAAUACAGAAGGGCUGAUACUAUACGAGACAAUGGAAAGGGACUCCUCAGUCUGCGGACGCGACAAAUAUACCUUGAAGUCUUUGGAGAAUCGCCUCGCCUCAAGGGUAGCAGGGAAGAGUCGAAGUAACUGGAUGUGCACAUGAAAACAUGCGCAGAAAGGCAUGAGUACACCACAGCGGUACUCAGUAAGUGCCAAGCCUAACCUCGGUCAGGCAGUGACGAGAAAAGUCAGGGCCCUACUGAUUAUAGUUGAAAAAUGAGGUAAAACAUUAUAGAAUACGACAAUAUAAUUAAAAAUGCUAACAGUAUAAAGUAACACAUGAUAAUAGGAAUGACAGCAACUAUAACAAAGACAAAAUAAUCACAGAAGGAAUACAUCUCAACACAGAGAUAACAACCGGGGAUCUCCCAGGAUACCGUCCUGCUGUCCCCAAAUGUAAAUAUCUAGUGGAUCUCCCGGGUGUCAUCCCGUAGUCCAACUCAUAGUGCGCGGGGAUCUACCGAAAUCCUGAUCCGUAGUCCCAAAUGUAAAUACCCAGUACUAGGGGAAUCUACCGGGUGCAGUCCCAUAGUUCCAAUAUAAUGUGCAGGGGGAUCUACCGGAAUACAAAUCCGUAGUCCCAUAGUAAACAUAUAGGGGGAUCUCCCGGGAUACCAUCCCAUAGUCCCAAAGUAAACACACAACAACAACACGAAGAAUACUCAAUUCAAUUCAAAUUUUAUAGCAACGUAAAACAGGUAUUUUUAACCGAGCAUGCUGCACAUAAUCCAAAUAAGGCAGUUUGAGAAAGUAAAGCAAUUAAAACAAUUAGACAUGCUUCCCUAAGCUAAUAGUAGGCUUAAAUUUGCAAGUAGUAUAAACAGGAAAGGAAACACAAUUAUAGUUACUUAAUAAAAACAGGAUUUUCAACAAUUAGCACAAGUACACACUCAUCACCUCACGUACAAGGCAUUUCAAAUAUCAACAAUAUCAAAUUCUAAGGGGAGUUCCCCCACACAAGGUUAGGCAAGCCACUUACCUUGAACCCGCUCAAUCAACUCAAUACCACAUUCUUGCCACGAGUAUCAGACUCCAAAUGGCCCAAAUCUAUUCAAAGUAAUUGCAUAAUGUAAAUAUAACUUCAAGCAACUAAUUCAACUAAUUAAUUCUAAGCUAAUACAUGAAAUUAGAAAAAAUGACUAAAACGCCCCGGGCCCACAUCUCGAAAUCGGAUAAAAUUUAUAAAUUCAGAAUCCUCACACUCUCCCAAAUUCAGUCAUACCAAAAGUACCAAAAUUGGACCUCAAAUGGUCCCUCAAAUCACCACUCAAAGCUCUCCAAUUAACCAAGUCCUAACCCCCAGUUUACCACUGAUUUUCCUUUAA
RNAcentral lists this long non-coding RNA (6365 nucleotides) under Nicotiana tabacum (common tobacco). Its description in RNAcentral is "long non-coding RNA (NTAB_LNC009718)". The record is from RNAcentral. Lineage: Eukaryota; Viridiplantae; Streptophyta; Magnoliopsida; Solanales; Solanaceae.